UCGCUGCGGGGGGGGAGGGGGCGAGCGAGCGAGCGAGCGCCCCCGGCCUUUCCGCGCGCCUUUGGCUCCCGCGCGUGGGGCGGGGCCGCGCGUCCUGAGGCGUCCGCGUGGCUCGCCCCGCCCCGCCCCGCCGCGCGAGCGGCCCGUUGUGCGGGCGAUCAGCGUGGCCCUUCGUCUGUCGCUUCCCCUUCCCCCGCUCGGAAACGGGGGUACAACGCCAGCCCGUUGUAUGCUGGCAGCUCUGUGGGCACCGGCGUUCCUCUGCGUUUGGGGAGGAGGUCGCCGAGAGGAGCUGUAAAUGUCUGCUGCUGACCCCAGAGUCAGCACAAGCAGAUAGCCCAGUGCUAGGUCUGCCAGCAGCUGACAAGGUAGAAAGAUGUGCUUUUCUCUUUCAUUCUUGUGAAGUUAGAGGCAGUGCCGAUUUAAACUGUGACUGAGGCUCUGCAAUGGUGCAAGUCUAUCCUACUACUUCAAAUUCAGUGACGCAAUCUGAGUUUACAUUAAUUAACUUUCAAGGAUUCAAGCAAUUUAAAGCUUUUGGUCAAUGACAGUUAUCUGAAAACAUUCCUACAGGUUUAUUUUCAUUUACAUUUGGUUGCUAUCUCCAUCUCAUUCAAAGCAGUCAGGACUGGGUUGCUUCUCUCUUCUCUGGAAAUUUGCACUAGGAACCAGUGUUAGAAUCAGAAUCCUGAUCUAAGAGUAUGAUGACAAAUGUUGCACUCCAAGUUGGAAAUUGGAGAGGAAAAUAUUCAUGUAUACGUAGGAAUUGUGCUCAAACAGCUGAUGACACUUGUUCUUACACCUUAACAGAUGCUUAGACCUUUUAGCUUUCUACCUGAGAAGCAACAGGUAGUUUCUAUGUUUCCCUUGGGGAUAGUGUACUCUUCUGUAUUUUGCUUCUAUACAAACAGUUCAAAAUUGUAAAGUCAUAUUGUCAGUCAUACAACCAAACAACCUUGCACGGCAUUCCAUGUUCCCCCCCAGAUAGAUCAAGCCCUGAAUGCAAGACCAGACAAGUAAAUAAUGCCAACAUGUAAAACUAACUUGUAAAUACAUUGCUUUUUGGCAGGCUUUUUGGCACUUUGUGGGGCUUAACUGUACUUCAGUGAGAAGAAUGUCCUCUGGUGUGAACUGAAAUUAUACCUCUAUGCCACAAUUUCUAUUUUUUUUUUUUGGGGGUGGGGGGAGAGGGGCAGAAUUCCUUGUGGACACCUGAAGGAGUUGCAAAAUAAUAAUAAAAUUGAGGUGAAGGAAAAGUU
Long non-coding RNA from Cygnus olor (mute swan), 1259 nucleotides. RefSeq lists it as uncharacterized. The record is from RefSeq and is a predicted model, not a curated record. Lineage: Eukaryota; Metazoa; Chordata; Aves; Anseriformes; Anatidae. The transcript has 2 exons.